CUUCCGAUCUGGAAGAAUCUGGAGACAGGUGCUGCAUGGCUGUCGUCAGCUCGUGUCGUGAGAUGUUGGGUUAAGUCCCGCAACGAGCGCAACCCUUGCCUUUAGUUGCCAGCAGUUCGGCUGGCACUCUGAAGGGACUGCCGGUGUUAAACCGGAGGAAGGUGGGGAUGACGUCAAGUCCUCAUGGCCUUUAUGACCAGGGCUACACGCGUACUACAAUGGCCGAUACAAAGGGCGGCGACACUGCGAGGUGAAGCCAAUCCCGUAAAAUCGGUCUCAGUCCGGAUUGGAGUCUGCAACUCGACUCCAUGAAGUUGGAAUCGCUAGUAAUCGUGGACCAGCAUGCCACGGUGAAUACGUUCCCGGGCCUU
This 371-nucleotide ribosomal RNA is filed under the name uncultured Desulfobulbus sp. RNAcentral's name for it is "bacterial SSU rRNA". It matches the Rfam family "Bacterial small subunit ribosomal RNA", at positions 1009 to 1382 of the family's 1533-position model. The record is from RNAcentral. Lineage: Bacteria; Pseudomonadati; Thermodesulfobacteriota; Desulfobulbia; Desulfobulbales; Desulfobulbaceae.